AAUCAACGCUGGCGGCGUGCCUCAGACAUGCAAGUCGAACGCGAAAGUUUCCUUCGGGAACAAGUAGAGUGGCGCACGGGUGAGUAACACGUAGGUAAUCUACCUUUGGAUGGGGAAUAACAACCGGAAACGGUUGCUAAUACCGCAUAAUGCAGCGGCACCUAAUGGUGACAGUUGUUAAAGCGGGGGGAUCGAAAGACCCUCGCGUC
This 209-nucleotide ribosomal RNA is filed under the name uncultured bacterium. RNAcentral's name for it is "partial 16S ribosomal RNA". It matches the Rfam family "Bacterial small subunit ribosomal RNA", at positions 32 to 237 of the family's 1533-position model. The record is from RNAcentral.